This 71-nucleotide transfer RNA is filed under the name Cordylochernes scorpioides. RNAcentral describes it as "tRNA-Gly". Lineage: Eukaryota; Metazoa; Arthropoda; Arachnida; Pseudoscorpiones; Chernetidae. The record is from RNAcentral.
UGCAUCGGCCGGGAAUCAAACCCUGGCCGCCCGCGUGGCAGGCGAGCAUUCUACCACUGAACCACCGAUGC